RNAcentral lists this long non-coding RNA (1895 nucleotides) under Struthio camelus australis. Its description in RNAcentral is "lncRNA (ENSSCUG00000003290.1)". Lineage: Eukaryota; Metazoa; Chordata; Aves; Struthioniformes; Struthionidae. The record is from RNAcentral.
CAUCACAUCACGGCCUCAUACGCCUUCCCGGUCGAGAAAUCAUCUCUUCAGCUCUGAAAUACAACCAUACCGAUCAAAUUAUCAUAGAUCACUAGAAUGACUUCAUUUGGGAAUGGCUUGUUCAUUAAGAUAUUUUAUUCAAUCAUCUGUCCUAAUCAUAUCUUUAACUUAUUUUGUAAGUAAAUCAGAAUAAUGCAGUAAUACCCCCUCCUCUCUCUCUCUCUCUGUGUGUGUGUGUGUGUCUUCUCUGAGCUCCUACUGACUUCUGAUCAACUUUUAAUUGAAUUUGACAGAGCGACAGAUGUCUUGAAGACAUUAGAGGAGAGAAAGCCCCAGCUCAGCACCACUCUGAAAGAAAAGAAACGCGCUGGGCUUUGUUGGAGCAAGAGCCGGUCUUUACCACCCCGGCACCCGGCCAGCCCUGAGGACUGUGAGGGCUCAUCACACCCGCCAUGCAGGCUGGCCUCUUCAUGGCCACGGAGCUGGACCCAGAGGCAUCGCCCCUUCCUCACCGAGGCGAAGCUGACUUGCGGCAACCGUCCCCGCUUGAUUUCAGUAAGGGUUGUGCUAAGGUGGGUUACUAGUUAGGUAACCGCAGGUUAAAACGGAUCUGAGAGCUAAAACUGGGUGCUGCUGCUCUGCGGAGUCAUAAUAGUUCAAUAUACAGUGUCCAAGUCUGGAUCUCACCAGCUAAAGAUGCCAUCAGUGCUUGGCCCCCCGCGCCUCAUCCUGCCGUUAUUUUGCUGAACUGCCCAUACUGCAGGUAGGAGGGCUGGUGGCCUUCGAAAUGGCAUUCAGUCAACUUUCCUGUACACCGAGGAGUUCUGCUGUUUGCUCAGACCUUCCUGAUGGUCACGUCCCAAGGAAUUACUCCUGUCAUACAGAGGUUUGUCAGUGCGAAAGAAGCUGAUGACCUUGAGGACAGAUUUUAAAAAAUGCCUGAAAGCUUUUGAAGCCCAGCACGUGUUGCGGGCAUAUUCUCCUAGAGCAUUUAGUGAAUUUUAAAAUCCUUGCUGAAGGCUAGUCCUGAGGAGUAGCAACCCGCGCUGUUGUGACGGAUGGGCAGGUCCCGAGCAGGAGUGUCAGCAGACUCCACCGAUGGAUUGCCAUGAGUCAGCCUUGGGAGCCUCCCCCUGCACAGACAGGAUUUUAGAAGAUCCGAAAGUGAUUUUAUCCAUAAGCGAAACUUGUGGCUUGCAGAUUCCCUUGCCCAGAUGAUGCUAUUGCUCACGUCUAAGAGCAGUCCUUCCGGAUCAGGGCUCACGAGCGCCAUCAGAUCUGGCCGGAGACAUGCGCGCUUCAGGUGCAAGGAUCUCCGCAAGCUUCCUGCACGUCCAGAGAUGCAUAUCCGUUGAUGAGGAGCGAAAUCCCGCGUGUCAGCAGGCUGACUGGAGAGCUUUUGCUAAGUAUAUGUGCAUUUAGCUUAGUUUCUGAACUAAAAGGAAAGGCAAGUGAGACUAAGAACAUAUGGCUUAAUGACAUAUUUGGAGAUGGUCAUUUGUUCUGUUUUCCACCUGAAUGAAUUUAAAGGCACAGCUGAAAUUAAAAUGUCAAAUCUCCAUUUGAGAUGUAAUCUAUUGUCGUAUGGGUGUCAUCGAAUCUGUUAAUAAUUAGGACCUGGCACCUCUGUUUCGUGCAGCCCCUAGUACAAAGUCACCGUGUUUAACUUACUUCACAGCAAUGCUGGAAAUAUGGGCACUGAAUUGUCGACACCAGACCUUUUAUAUAUAUUGAAGCAACUUUUUAAACAUUUUUCUUUAACUAAAUAUAUUUAACUAAAUAUAUCUUUAACUGAAUAUAUUUUCCUUUAAACAUAGUGUUAGCUCCGUGUUAGACACUACCUAUAUUUUCAUUGAUGUAGUAGAAUUAAAAAUAAACUAAAAUAUUUAAGGACA